AAAUAUUAAAAAAAAAAAAAAACUGAAUAACUGGAAUCUACUCCAUCACUACCAUACAUUAAACCACAAACCAACUCUCAUAUAUAUAUACUCCCACCUUCUCUUCAAUCUCUCUCCUCUCAUUUCAUUUCUCUCGUCGCCACCACUGCUCUCUCUCUCUCUCUCUCUCUCUCUCUAAUUAUCUACAGUCACUGUUUCUGCACACAGAAAUCUAGCGUGUCUCUUUCCAGCAACGAUAACUUGGCGGGGACGACGAUGAUGGUGAAGGACGAGUGGGUAAGAGCGGCGAUGACGGAUGAUACAGUGGUUGUGGAGCUGCUUGUACGGCUUAAGCAAGCACAAGCGGCGGUACCGGCAAAGCCUCAGGCGGUGAUUCCGUUUAGAUGGGGGUUACGACUCCCAAGGUCGAGACCUGCCACCUCUACUUCCGCACGAUGUGACGUCAUUUCCAGGAGGAAAGAAGGAGAUUCUUCUACCAGAUGUAGUCCUACCACGCCGCUUUCCUGGAGCGGUGGUGGCGGCGCCGCCUCACCUUCCGCUACCGCUGAUGGCUUUGAAGAAACCAGCCCACACGUCAGCCGUUCCCUUCCUGGCGUCAGAUCCAAGGCUAGUGCUAAUGUGGAAACUGCAAGCACCACUACCAAGAGGUCAAGAAGGAAAAAGACAUUUUUUGAACUUAAACAAGAAGAAAGUGCGUUGUUGUUAGAAAAGUUGGAUCUGAAAGAGGAAUUAGCUGCUUUAAAUGUCACUUUAAAGGAACAAAAAGCAAGAAAUGAGAAUUUGAAGAGAAUAAAGGUCGAUUUAAAUUUUCAAUGUGCAAAGAACUCGAAUUUAGCGUCUUCUGAAAUAGAGAAAGCAAGUUGCAGCCAGACCCAUCAAGGGGAACCUUCUUCAGCAAACUACAUUAGUUCAGUGUUGCCAGCGCUUGCUAAAGUUGAUUGUAAUACACAGUCAGAUUCUUGUGAAAUGCAAGAUGCAGAAUCUAAUCACGAUAGAUCCUUCCUGAUACCUGAUUUAAAUAUGAUGCCAUCUGAGGAGGAUCAUAACACUGGAAUGAUAUGACUAAAAUGUAUGAACACCCCAUCUUUGCUCCAUACUAAGGAUGUGGAUGCCAGGUAGCAGAAGAGCUGCAGAGGUAGCCUUGUCCUUAGCCAAGGAGUUGUUCAAUUUAUGCGCAUUCAUUGUUGGCAUCUCAGAAUUGAGCAAUCGGCCAAUGCUGCCCCAUAAAUUUCUCUUCAUCUACCUCGUGGAAGGCAAAAGAGGUCAAUCAGUCAACGGAGGAGGUUUCACGAGUACUGUAGAGAUUGUGACUAAUAGAUGUAGAGAUUCUUGUUCUAUUUGAGGUAUCUGGAUUCCUCUGAAAUUCUGCAGGAAAUUGUUUUUGCUUUGAGAGACUGGACUGAAAAGCAAUCUUAGAUGAUGCUUGCUGCUGUGAAUUUCCUAUUAACAGACAGGACCCGUUUUGAAGACGAGAGAAACGCCGACAGAAAAAUGAUAUGGCCAAAUCUAGCACUUUUUAAGUUUUUGCUUAAACAAUGAUUUUGCUAUGUAUGUGGGAUUUGCAUCAUACUGAAAUGCAGUAGCAGCAAAAUUAUUUCCUGCAACAAAUUAGUAUUUUCAUAGAGAGGAAUGAACUUUUUGGAAA
RNA transcript from Jatropha curcas, 1645 nucleotides. RefSeq lists it as uncharacterized. The record is from RefSeq and is a predicted model, not a curated record. NCBI's taxonomy places the organism in Eukaryota, Viridiplantae, Streptophyta, Magnoliopsida, Malpighiales, Euphorbiaceae.